This 253-nucleotide ribosomal RNA is filed under the name uncultured bacterium. RNAcentral describes it as "partial 16S ribosomal RNA". It matches the Rfam family "Bacterial small subunit ribosomal RNA", at positions 524 to 776 of the family's 1533-position model. The record is from RNAcentral.
UACGGGGGGGGCAAGCGUUGUUCGGAAUUACUGGGCGUAAAGGGCUUGUAGGUGGCCAACUAAGUCAGACGUGAAAUCCCUCGGCUUAACCGGGGAACUGCGUCUGAUACUGGAUGGCUUGAGUGUGGGAGAGGGAUGCGGAAUUCCAGGUGUAGCGGUGAAAUGCGUAGAUAUCUGGAGGAACACCGGUGGCGAAGGCGGCAUCCUGGACCAUUACUGACGCUGAGGCGCGAAAGCGUGGGGAGCAAACAGG